RNAcentral lists this ribosomal RNA (497 nucleotides) under uncultured bacterium. Its description in RNAcentral is "partial 16S ribosomal RNA". It matches the Rfam family "Bacterial small subunit ribosomal RNA", at positions 28 to 507 of the family's 1533-position model. The record is from RNAcentral.
GAUGAACGCUGGCGGCGUGCCUAAUACAUGCAAGUCGAGCGAACAGACGAUGAGCUUGCUCCUCUGACGUUAGCGGCGGACGGGUGAGUAACACGUGGAUAACCUACCUAUAAGACUGGGAUAACUUCGGGAAACCGGAGCUAAUACCGGAUAAUAUAUUGAACCGCAUGGUUCAAUAGUGAAAGACGGUUUUGCGGUCACUUAUCGAUGGAUACGCGCCGCAUUAGCUAGUUGGUAAGGUAACGGCUUACCAAGGCAACGAUGCGUAGCCGACCUGAGAGGGUGAUCGGCCACACUGGAACUGAGACACGGUCCAGGCUCCUACGGGAGGCAGCAGUAGGGAAUCUUACGCAAUGGGCGAAAGCUUGACGGAGCGACGCCGCGUGAGUGAUGAAGGUCUUCCGAUCGUAAAACUCUGUUAUUAGGGAAGAACAAAUGUGUAAGUAACUAUGCACGUCUUGACGGUACCUAAUCAGAAAGCCACGGCUAACUACGUG